This 328-nucleotide ribosomal RNA is filed under the name uncultured eukaryote. RNAcentral's name for it is "partial 18S ribosomal RNA". It matches the Rfam family "Eukaryotic small subunit ribosomal RNA", at positions 1470 to 1796 of the family's 1831-position model. The record is from RNAcentral.
CCCUUAGAUGUUCUGGGCCGCACGCGCGUUACACUGAUGCAUUCAACGAGCUUAUAACCUUGGCCGAGAGGCCCGGGCAAUCUUGUUAACGUGCAUCGUGAUAGGGAUAGAUUAUUGAAAUUAUUAAUCUUGAACGAGGAAUUCCUAGUAAACGCAGAUCAUCAAUCUGCAUUGAUUACGUCCCUGCCCUUUGUACACACCGCCCGUCGCACCUACCGAUUGGAUGGUCCGGUGAAGCCUCGGGAUUGUGGUUCUUGCCGCUUUAUUGUGGCGUGACCGCGAGAACUUGUCUAAACCUUAUCAUCUAGAGGAAGGUGAAGUCGUAACA